UUCACAGAUUCCAUAUUAUCUUGAAAUACUUUUCUUUUAUAUACCAGAUUUGACAUGAAUUUGCACUUCAUAAACUACUACAAGUAUCAAGCCAUUCUCAUCCAAAUGUGGGUAAAGAAUUUGGGGGAAAAACUUAGUAAAAAUGUCUUAUUUUGUAAAGCAGUUUGAAAUUUUAAUUGAUUUUAUGGUAUUAAACAGUUGCAAAAAUAAUAGAAUUAUAUUCAACCUAUGUAUCCUUUUAGUGAGCAUGGGUGGGUAUUUCAGUACCAUCAACCAUUUUGCAGUUUUCAUGAGGUCUCUUUGAGUAACUAAAAAUUAUGUCCUUUCAAGCAAACUCUUUUCAGUGAAGUUAAUCCAAAAGUUCCUAGAUUAAAUAUUUCAAAUACAUUUUGCUUAUGUGACAUUCUUCUCCAGGGCUCCAGUGUACCCUCCUAUUGUUGCCAGUUCCAAACCCAUUUUGAGGUCUCAGCUUUUUCCAUGAGAAUGUCAAAACUGGAGGCCUUUCAAAGUAGCUGCUGUGAACACGGAGGCCCCACAGACAGGCUGACAGUCCCUCCAGUUGCUCUCAGAGACUUGCCUCAAGUGGAUACACAGAGCAAUUCUCCAGACACAGACGCAUCUGAUGUCCUUUCCCGAAAAUAUCAUUUCCAGAAAAGAUGCUGACCAAGAAGAAACAGCAGGGGUGAGAGAGUGGCCAAAGCACUUGAAACAUCUUAACAAGCACUAAUUAAAUGUCGUGCUUAAAAAAUACGGCUUAAGAAAGCCAAAUACAAUAACUUCUUACAGAUGGUUUUAGGAACUAACAAGACCUGUAGGAAAUGGCGCAUUAAGAUUAGUGUCCCCGAAGUCUCUUACAACCAUUAGUGACUGAAGGUGCUGUGCACUUUAGAAGGAAAUAAUCAGAAUUUGCCUGAUGUGAAGCUGUUUGGUUUUUUUCUCAUUUCUCUCUGAAGGGAACUGCGCAUCUGUCAGUGCAUUACACAGUCAAUAUUGACACGGCCAGCCAAUGGAAUAUAAAAGGAGCAUUAGCGGCCUUGAAAUCUAUUUUUUUCUGACGGGGUGCAAAGCCAUCCGAAAAACAAUUACCUCUCCAAAGAGGUGCCACAGAUGUAAUGUUGCAGGUCCCAAAGGUGUUGCCCUUCAUGUCCAGAUGGCACAGCACUGCACCAAAGCUGGCCCCUCAGCAGCUGUGACAGACAAGGAGCAACCCCCACAUGUGCAGCUUAGCAGGAUGCCACCCAGAGGUCUGAGACACGGUCAGGGAAGAAGAACGGAGGAGAAAAGAAGAGAAGGUGAGGGAAGCAUAGACAAGAAAGCAAGGGAGAGAGAGGGAGAGAAAACUGCAAACAGUCAUCUGCCACUGCCUCCCAACUGGCCUCUCCAACCACAGGCCAGCCUCCUUCCAAGUUCCUCAGCAGAGAGCUGCGUUCAGAAAGAAGCAAAUGAGGGAUGUGGAGGCAGAAGACCUGGAAGUCUGGACUUGUCAUCUGAAACGUCUGAACUCAGGCAAGCCAAGAACCUCUCUGGGUCUCAGUUUCCUCAUCUGUAAAAAUGAAAUAAGGAUAAGGUCCAUUUCACCAAAUAUUGAACACCUAAUGAGAUCAUGUAUUUUUAACAGCUUUAUUGAGUUGUAAUGGACAUAUAAUAAACUGUACAUGUUAAGCGAUGAUGCAUUUGGAAAGAAGCAUUUGUAAACCAUAAAACUUUCAUCUCUACCAGGCUCAGAAUCCCACAGUAGCUCCCUAAUUUCUUUAAGCCAUUUUCUGUCUGGUUUUUAGGAGUCUUCAUAACCGGUCUGCACCUUACCCGGCCACCUCAUUUCUUACCAUUUUCCACUACAGACUCAUAACAAUGAGGCCAGCCUUCUUCAUUCAGCAUUCUCUCCACUGGUUUUUCCCUGGAACACCAACAAUGACCACCAAGCCCCUCUGCUCAUCUUCAGCAUCUUCAUUCUCCCGCAUUUGUUCAGCCGUUGAACACUGAACACUCUGACAAAUACUGUCCUAUGUACUGGGGAUGCUUCUGGGAGCAAGAAAGAGAAGUUCACUGCCAUCAAGGGCCCUCCGAGAGAGCUCUUGACAGUAAACAGGGUGUUCCCUGCCAGCAUCCUCCUCCCUAUGUGAAUCCUCCAGCUCUGAUGCUCUCUCCUCUGUGAAGUCUCUUUUAAGUACCAUUAACUCAUUAUCUUCUCUCUCUUUUUUCCUACAGCUCUUGUGGGCUGUUUCAUAUAAUUUAGGGUAUGUUUUAUUUUUUAAAAUUCUCACCUAAAAAGCACCACCCAGGAAGCUGGUUUUUUUCCACAAUCUUAUAACCCAGAGUAGACAUCAAAUGCUUGUUGAUUUCAGAAGAGCACAUCAGAAAAGCUGGGCAUGUGUGAGAAACUCUCCCAGGAAACAGAACCCACCAUUGCCCCUCAGUGGCACCUGUAUGGUGGGCUGGUCGGCCCUGCUGGGAGGGCAGCACUAGCAAGGACAGUCUGAUUCACGGCUUGUCCAAAGCCAACCACAGGGGAAGCCAUGCUCAAGGACAUCUUCCUGCUGCCGGCAAAAGACGAGUGUCUCCUAGCAACCGGCUUCCAGUGGCUUCCUGUCCUGGGAGCCUCCCUGUGCUCACAGCUUUACAUCCUGGGGUUUUGUAUUUUGGCCUUGCUAAUCACUGUGUUUAUUCUAGGUUCUGAAAAUUGAGGAAUAAAUGCAGGUUAGCUGCUGACGUUCAAGCGGAGACACCAUUUUAUUCAUAACCUCCUUUCAGCAACCACUCAUGACUUUCAUGGAACAGAAUGUUUGAUCUUAGUCUAAAAAGGGUAAAUAUAUUUUUUAAAGAUUUCAUUUAUAUCAAGGCAGUUGGUUUGAAAGAUACAUAAAAAAGGAAAAGCACACAUUCUUUCCAUCGAAUAAUCAAAAAGUACUCAGACCUUUUCAAAACAGAUACACUAUCAUUCAAAACCUGUUACAGCAAUAAACUCUAACUUGGCAAGUUCACAGAUGCAGAAGGAAAGGCAAGGCAAAUUGGAAGAAAAUGGUUCAAAGGUCCUUAAAAGUUUUGGUGGCUUAGAAUUAUGUCUGCUGCAAUAUGGAUUGAGCAUUUAUUUCCUCCAUGUUCUUCCUAGAAAGUCUAACCUUAGUUUCAAGGUAUAUAGUGCUACAUUUUUAUUUUUGUGGGAUUGAACUCCGCAGUUGAUGUUGCUUUGUAACAUUUUCUCUUGUUUUUAGCAAAUAUUCAUCAAGACACAAAUUCCUCAUCUGUUAAAAAAAUCAAUCAGACUUCCCACAGUGAAGAGCUCAAAACUAUAAGUAUAUCCUUUAUUCAAAAAACCCAUAAAUGUAAGUUAAAGGUAUGAUUACUUGUCUCUUUCAAUAAGAAAACUCAAAGACUUAAGGUGAGUUGAGUGCCCAGAGUUAAAUAUAUGAGAGGGCUGGUAAACCCCAGAACUCUUUUCCAGCAAAGCCACCAAAGCCUGGUACUGCCCGGGGUUCCCUGAGCAGCAAGUUGAGGUUUGGAGUCUGCUACUGCUGUAUUUAGGCAGUGAGCUUGGUCUCUGCAGACUUGUGAGUUCUUUGGAGGUAUCCCUCAGUUCCUCCCCCCAUUUCCCUCCCCCUGUCCAAGCAAUACAGCCACGAAGUCAUGAGUCCAAGAUUAAUUCUAACUGUUUUGGCCGUAGUAGACCCUCUAUAAACCUAAGAAUGACUUCUGCCUUCUCAGGGAUAGUAUAGGAUUUACCAGGUAGCACCAGUGACUUCUAACUUUUCAGCAUCUACUUUUGAAAUGUAUCCAUGGAUGGAGUUUUUAAUAGGGGGUGUUGCACUUUCCUUAGAAUAACUCACAGGCUCCUUAGCUUCCUAUUUUGGGGUUCUGUACAUAUUUGUUUUCGGGGGUACAAAAUGAAUCACAUGGCUACAGCAGGGCACUCCUGAAUGACUCUUGUUUAUUCAUUAAAGAAACUUGUACAUGAAUCAAGGCUUUCCUUAUGGUCUCAGGCUGUUCUUCAUUCCCUGAAAUGGUCAGAACAGCCAUCAAGCAUCUUGGAAGAAUGCAUAUCUUUAAAGGCCAUAAAGAAAGAACGUUUGGUUAAAAUGAAAAACUGCUCUGCCACCCACUCGUCUGAGUUCUCCUUUCUUCAUCUUUAAUCAAUAUGUAAAUCUGUUCACUUGAUGUUUUAAUACAAGUUGAGGUAAAUUCAGCUUCAUCAUGUUUUUCCACAGAGGGGAAAAAGUAACCCUGACUCUUCCUCUGGCCCUUUUCAAAUAUCUACAUGCAGUGGUGGAAUGAGCUGAGGACAUGAAAGGCCCUGGGAGGCAGGCCUGUGUCUUACCCUGCUGGGCCUAGUAUUCCAACCACCACACAAGACUAAUUCAAGAAUAACAGGCCUGGGUCCCAACCUUAAUCAUUUCCAUUUUCAUUAUGGUUUACACAUUAAUUGUAAAUGACCAGAUUGAUUAGGGACUCUUUUAAAAAGCCAAACAGAUUGGGAGGCAGUGCCGGAUAGCAUUUACUGUAUAGGUUUGAUAUUUCCAUAGACCUGGACUAAACAUCCAGACCUGUCAUUUACUAGCUGUGUGACCUUGGGAAAGUCACUAGGCUUCUCUGGGCCUCAAAUUUUCCUUAACUAUAAAAUAGGGAUUGUAACUACCUGUAUGAAAAUUAGAGUGAGAAUAAAAUGAAACAAUGUAUGCAAAAGAUUUUGCAUAGUGCCUGUAACUACCGUUUAUUGAAUAAAAGACUGUAAUACAAACUGCUUUGAUAUGUGUGGCA
Cercocebus atys (sooty mangabey) is the source of this 4752-nucleotide long non-coding RNA. RefSeq lists it as uncharacterized. The transcript has 2 exons. The record is from RefSeq and is a predicted model, not a curated record. Lineage: Eukaryota; Metazoa; Chordata; Mammalia; Primates; Cercopithecidae.